Molecule: transfer RNA, 74 nt
Filed under: Rhodopirellula sp. TMED11
Lineage: Bacteria; Pseudomonadati; Planctomycetota; Planctomycetia; Pirellulales; Pirellulaceae
Also listed under: 1 other name
Description: tRNA-Arg
Rfam family: tRNA
About the family: Transfer RNA (tRNA) molecules are approximately 80 nucleotides in length. Their secondary structure includes four short double-helical elements and three loops (D, anti-codon, and T loops).
Source: RNAcentral
GCCCUUGUAGCUCAGCUGGAUAGAGCAUUCGACUUCUAAUCGAACGGUCGCAGGUUCGAAUCCUGCCAAGGGUG